AACGAACGCUGGCGGCAUGCCUAACACAUGCGAGUCGAACGAGACCUUCGGGUCUAGUGGCGCACGGGUGCGUAACGCGUGGGAACCUGCCCUUAGGUUCGGAAUAACUCCCCGAAAGGGGUGCUAAUACCGGAUAAUGUCUUCGGACCAAAGAUUUAUCGCCUUUGGAUGGGCCCGCGUUGGAUUAGCUAGUUGGUAGGGUAAAAGCCUACCAAGGCGACGAUCCAUAGCUGGUCUGAGAGGAUGAUCAGCCACACUGGGACUGAGACACGGCCCAGACUCCUACGGGAGGCAGCUGUGGGGAAUAUUGGACAAUGGGCGAAAGCCUGAUCCAGCAAUGCCGCGUGAGUGAUGAAGGCCUUAGGGUUGUAAAGCUCUUUUACCCGGGAUGAUAAUGACAGUACCGGGAGAAUAAGCUCCGGCUAACUCCGUG
This 433-nucleotide ribosomal RNA is filed under the name uncultured bacterium. Its description in RNAcentral is "partial 16S ribosomal RNA". It matches the Rfam family "Bacterial small subunit ribosomal RNA", at positions 29 to 507 of the family's 1533-position model. The record is from RNAcentral.